GACGGAGGGUGCUAGCGUUGUUCGGAAUUACUGGGCGUAAAGGGCGCGUAGGCGGCUGCUCAAGUCGGGUGUGAAAUCCCGGGGCUCAACCCCGGAACUGCAUCCGAUACUGCCAUGCUAGAGGAUUGGAGAGGUAGCUGGAAUUCUUGGUGUAGCAGUGAAAUGCGUAGAGAUCAAGAGGAACACUCGUGGCGAAAGCGAGCUACUGGACAAUUCCUGACGCUGAGGCUCGAAGGCUAGGGUAGCGAAAGGG
RNAcentral lists this ribosomal RNA (253 nucleotides) under uncultured bacterium. Its description in RNAcentral is "partial 16S ribosomal RNA". It matches the Rfam family "Bacterial small subunit ribosomal RNA", at positions 524 to 776 of the family's 1533-position model. The record is from RNAcentral.